RNAcentral lists this small RNA (557 nucleotides) under Pongo abelii (Sumatran orangutan). Its description in RNAcentral is "processed transcript". The record is from RNAcentral. Lineage: Eukaryota; Metazoa; Chordata; Mammalia; Primates; Hominidae.
AUUGCACCAUUUUGCUGGUAGCCAUCUUGAGUGAGGGUGGACCAGAGGAUGAGAGAGCUGUGGUAGGGCUACUGGAACGCUGUCCCUCAUUGUUUUAGCCUUCUGUGCUUCAUCUCGAGCUCAGAAGACUAGCAAAGAACCAAAAGUCUUAUAUAUUUCGAGACUAAAGAACCCAGGAACCCAAGAAGUAUCCUUGACCACAACAAAGAUGGCGAAAUCUGCCGGUUUCGUGCUAGAUUGAGGUUACGUAGAUCGGCGUGCUGCAAACCAGCUCUAGGCGGCUCUGGGAUCUUCAGCCUGUUAAACAAGAAAACGAAAAACCCCUUCCAGAAAACAUGGAUGCAUUUGAAAAAGUGAGAACAAAAUUAGAAACACAGCCACAAGAAGAAUAUGAAAUCAUCAAUGUGGAACAGACAAUGAUAAUUAUGAAGUUUUAUUCAAUUUGGAGGAACUUAAGUUAGACCAGCCCUUCAUUGAUUGCAUCAGAGUUGCUCCAGAUGAAAAAUAUGUGGCUGCCAAGAUAAGAACUGAAGAUUCUGAAGCAUCUACCUGUGUAA